Long non-coding RNA from Homo sapiens (human), 3343 nucleotides. RefSeq lists it as uncharacterized. The record is from RefSeq and is a predicted model, not a curated record. Lineage: Eukaryota; Metazoa; Chordata; Mammalia; Primates; Hominidae. The transcript has 2 exons.
AAUGUUUCAUUAAAAGAGAAAUGUGAGUCAUAGAAAUGUAUCACAUUAAUCUGAAAAAGAGGAUUCCAGCCUGGCCAUGAUCAGUCAGUUACAUUUUUUAAAUGCCUAGGCUAAACAUUGGAGGGAAAUAUGCCAAUAUAAUAGAAUUGAUUGGCUCUGGGUAGUAGAGUUGAUGGUAUUUGCUUUUCUUCUUUACACUUUUUAAAAAUUUUGUAAAUAUUCUAAAAAUAUGUCAUAAAAUAAACAUAGCAAAACAGCUGAAAUGAAAUAUGCCAGAAUGUUAGAAAUAUGCCCAAAAAAACCUCUUUUUCCCCAAUUCUUUGUACUUUUUUUUUUGCUUUGCAAUUUUUCUGCAGCGAGAAUGUAUUACUUUUAAAUAAGAAAAACAGUUUUCAAAACUAUGUCAGAGAGGGACGAUUACCCACUGCCCAUGCAGUGUUUCAGGGGUUUCAGGUGGAAGUGGGUCACUGCAGAGCUGUAAUUUAUUAAGUGCCUUAUCUGAUGUAAGUUUUUAUCUUCACAACGUAAAUGAGGGGGAGUCGCUGUUAUACCCACGUAUGGAAGAUGAAAGCAUGGAUGGUAAGGCACAGAAGUGAAGUAGUUUAGUCAAGGCUAGUGAGUGGCAGAACUAGGAUUCACACCUACUCUUUGUGACAUUGACUCUUAGGCUGUUUCCACCACUUUUCCAGUAGAAAAUUGAUUUUUGAUUGUAAACUAAUUUGAGUUGGCUCGACUUAGUGACUGAUUUUCUUUAACUGAUGUCAAAAGAGGCUGACGCUUAAGCCAGAAGGCAGUUUAUAAACUUUUGGCUGGAGCAGUGUAGCAGCAGGACCAGAAUUCUAUGAUAGCUGGUCACUGUAUCCCUUCUGCUGUGAGACAGUUUGUGUGGGAGGCCCAAUGGGCAGAGUCAGAGCUCAGAAUCCUGGCUAACCUUGAAUGUGACAUGUCAUUGAACUGUGACAGUUCUGGUAUAAAAAUAUGCCUCCCAGGUAGAGCAGAAUACUUUCACCAGCUGAUCACAGAACGCUCUUCCUUGGACAGAGGAAAAUCUCUUUUACUUCACCUCUAUGAAGACACUCACCCAGUAACAAAUUUUUUUUUUUUUUUUUUUGACACAGACUCUGGCUCUGUUGCCCAGGCUGGAGUGCAGUGGCACGAUCUUGGCUCACUGCAAGCUCCACCUCCUGGGUUCGUGCCAUUCUCAUGCCUCAGCCUCCCGAGUAUCUGAGACUACAGGCACCCACCACCACGCCCGGCUAAGUUUUUGUAUUUUUAGUAGAGACAGGGUUUCACCAUUUUAGCCAGGAUAGUCUCGAUCUCCUGACCUUAUGAUCCACUCACCUCAGCCUCCCAAAGUGCUGGGAUUACAGGCGUGAGCCACCAUGCCAGCCAGUAACAAAUAUUUUGUUCACACAAGUUUAUUGGGUUACAGCUCUUCAGUUAUUUUUCAAUCCUGAGCCUAGAUGGUCAUUAUCUUAAGUGCAUUGGGCAUAUUGUUAAGCCUUUAUAAUGAAAAUUUGUAAACAUCUUUAUAUAGUAGCAUUCUGCAAAUGGUUAACCCAUCCAUUUAUGCUCAUUUCAUCCUAAAAAAUACAACCCCCCAAAUCUGGAAGUAUCUUAUUCUAGACUCCUAUAUGCUGAAUGCAAAUAUCAAAAGCGGUAAAGUUUCACUGGCUUCUUCAACCUGAAUUGAACAGAAGAAUUACAUAUUUGAUUGUAAUUCAUAUAGGCCAACUGUGUUAUUUGGCAUGGCUCUUCACUAAAGCACCAAGCACUGAUUUGAAGUAUGUUGCAUUUUUUGGAAUUAAAAAAAGUUUUCAUGAAAAAAUAAAUACAUAAUUGAAAAGCCAACAUGAUUGCUGUUCACUACACCCUUUUGGCAGUAUUCUAUGAAAAUAAUCCAAGUCUGUAUGUAAGAGCUUUCAGAAAAUGAUACAUAGCUAAGUCUCCAAAAAAUGCUAAUAAGCAAUGACCACAAUUAAAUAGAAUGCAUGAAACAGGAAGCUUAAGAGACCAGGCUGGUCACAGUGGCUCACACCUGUAAUCUCAGCACUUUGGGAGGCCAAGGCGGGAGGAUUGCUUGAGGGCAGGAGUUUGAGAUCAGCCUAGGUGACAUAGUGAGAUCCUGUCCCUAUUUAUAAAAUAAAAAUUUUUAAAAAGGAAAAAAAAAAAAAAAGAUACCAGAAGUGCCAGGCACGGUAUCUCCCACCCGUAACCCCAGCACUUUGGGAGGCUGAGGCAGGUGGAUCACGAGGUCAGGAGAUGGAGACCAUCCUGGCUAACAUGGUGAAACCCUGUCUCUCCUAAAAAGUACAAAAAAUUAGCCAGGCAUGGUGGUGGGCGCCUGUAGUCCCAGCUACUCAGGAGGCUGAGGCAGGAGAAUGGCAUGAACCUGGGAGGUGGAGCUUGCAGUGAGCCGAGAUUGCACCACUGCACUCCAGCCUGGGCGACAGAGCGGGACCCUGUCCCAAAAAAAAAAAAAAAAAAAAAAAAGGUGCCAGAAGCAUUUAUGAGUCCAAAGCAGAAGCAACUUCUAGUGACCACAGUGAGAAUGACCAACUAUUUUAAGUAUUCAAGGCUUGCAAGCUAUUCUUACUUUGCUACUAGAGGCCACGUUUCACAGAACCCUGCCUAAACUCAAUGAUAAUAGCUAAGAUUUAUUGAGUUUUUGGUUUAUGUCAGAUACUGUAUUAAACACUUUCCAAAGAUUGUUUCAUUUGCAUUUUCAGAAAAGGCCAAUGAGAUUAGUGUUAUUAUUAGUAAUUUUCCAAAAGUCACACCAGAAGUUAUUGGUGGAGUCAGGGUUUGAACCCACACUCCAGGAUACACGUGCUGACCUAAUACUGCAGGUGCCACACUUGAUACCUUCUUAAAUGCAUGAGAGGAUGUUUAAGGUCCUCUUAUAUGUGACAAGAGAUAUCUAGGGUAGGAGUUUUUUUGGUAGUGUCUUUACUGUGAUCUGUUGGCAUUCGCGCCAGUUAAAUACAUGUCGUAUUUUAUAAAUUCAAAGAAAAUGGCCGUGGUGUAACUGGAGGCACUUUCUGAUAAGAAGAGUAAAAGCCUGUUGACAUGAUAUAGGGUGGAGAGUUUUAUUCAUUCAUACAUUCAAUACAAAGUUUUUGAUAAAAUAGAUAUGCCAAGUGAUGUGGAGAAGAGAAGGAAAUGUCUUUGUCCCUGCUUUUUUUCUGUUAAGGAAUUUGCCAUUUGGAAGUGUGUAUGUUGAGAAGCUGGAGAGCAUGAUGGUCAAGAGUGCGGGCCCUGGAGUUCCUGUACUUUAGUAUUUGACUUUUGUGAACAUUUUUAUUUUGAUAAUUUUUCUGAAACAACUGAUAGAGAGGAAAAU